This 209-nucleotide unclassified non-coding RNA is filed under the name Hevea brasiliensis (rubber tree). Lineage: Eukaryota; Viridiplantae; Streptophyta; Magnoliopsida; Malpighiales; Euphorbiaceae. The record is from RNAcentral.
CACCGACAAAUUGCUAGCUACCGUAGCCGUUGGAUUCGUGAAAACAAUCUUCAUCUUAGUGGCAACUUUUUUUGCUGGACAGAAUCGGACGGCGGCCGGUGCUUCUAAGUAGCGUAGCAGGGGUGGGAUUUUCAUUAGCAACCCUUGGAUUUUCGUUGACCAUCAUAGAUCAUUCGCACGAGAAGCUAACAUGGGCGAUUGCACUGUGC